GACAGGGGAUGCGAGUGUUAUCCGGAAUUAUUGGGCGUAAAGCGUCUGCAGGUGGGGAUCUCAGUCUUUUGUUAAAUCUCUAGGCUUAACCUAGAAAAUGCAAAAGAAACUAGUUCUCUAGAGGAUGGAAGAGGGAAAGGGAAUUUCCAGUGGAGCGGUGAAAUGCGUAGAGAUUGGAAAGAACACCAAAAGCGAAAGCACUUUCCUGGGACAUACCUGACACUCAGAGACGAAAGCUAGGGGAG
Molecule: ribosomal RNA, 245 nt
Filed under: uncultured bacterium
Lineage: Bacteria
Description: partial 16S ribosomal RNA
Rfam family: Bacterial small subunit ribosomal RNA
Source: RNAcentral